Molecule: ribosomal RNA, 274 nt
Filed under: uncultured bacterium
Lineage: Bacteria
Description: partial 16S ribosomal RNA
Rfam family: Bacterial small subunit ribosomal RNA
Source: RNAcentral
AUACGGAGGGGGUUAGCGUUGUUCGGAAUUACAGGGCGUAAAGCGCGCGUAGGCGGAUUGGUAAGUUAGAGGUGAAAUCCCGGGGCUCAACCCCGGAACUGCCUUUGAUACUGCCAGUCUUGAGUUCGAGAGAGGUGAGUGGAAUUCCGAGUGUAGAGGUGAAAUUCGUAGAUAUUCGGAGGAACACCAGUGGAGAAGGCGGCUCACUGGCUCGAUACUGACGCUGAGGUGCGAAAGCGUGGGGAGCAAACAGGAUUAGAAACCCCAGUAGUCC